RNAcentral lists this ribosomal RNA (855 nucleotides) under uncultured Bacteroidota bacterium. Its description in RNAcentral is "bacterial SSU rRNA". It matches the Rfam family "Bacterial small subunit ribosomal RNA", at positions 56 to 909 of the family's 1533-position model. Lineage: Bacteria; Pseudomonadati; Bacteroidota. The record is from RNAcentral.
UGCAAGUCGAACGGUAACAGAUGUAGCAAUACAUGCUGACGAGUGGCGCACGGGUGCGUAACACGUAUGCAACCUACCCUUUACUGGGGGAUAACCCUGAGAAAUUAGGGCUAAUACCCCAUGGUAUUCAGAUAAGGCAUCUUACUUGAAUUAAAGAUUUAUUGGUAAAGGAUGGGCAUGCGCCCCAUUAGUUAGUUGGUGAGGUAACGGCUCACCAAGGCAGUGAUGGGUAGGGGUUCUGAGAGGAUUAUCCCCCACACUGGUACUGAGACACGGACCAGACUCCUACGGGAGGCAGCAGUAAGGAAUAUUGGGCAAUGGGCGAGAGCCUGACCCAGCCAUGCCGCGUGCAGGAAGACGGCCUUAUGGGUUGUAAACUGCUUUUAUGUGAGACUAAUCGCCCUGACGUGUCGGGGUUUGCAGGUAUCGCAUGAAUAAGCAUCGGCUAACUCCGUGCCAGCAGCCGCGGUAAUACGGAGGAUGCGAGCGUUAUCCGGAUUUAUUGGGUUUAAAGGGUGCGUAGGCGGACAAGUAAGUCAGUGGUGAAAUAUUCGGGCUCAACCGGGAUACUGCCAAUGAUACUGUUUGUCUGGAGUGUAAACGAAGUGGGCGGAAUGUGGAGUGUAGCGGUGAAAUGCAUAGAUAUUCCACAGAACACCGAUAGCGAAGGCAGCUCACUAGCAUACAACUGACGCUGAGGCACGAAAGCGUGGGGAGCAAACAGGAUUAGAUACCCUGGUAGUCCACGCUGUAAACGAUGAUCACUAGCUGUAGGCGAUACACUGUCUGUGGCUAAGCGAAAGCGAUAAGUGAUCCACCUGGGGAGUACGUCGGCAACGAUGAAACUCAAAGGAA